UCUUUCGACAAGUGUACAACGUUCUUAAUUUUGUAAUUUUUUUUUUCAUUUACUCUUUUAAUGUGGUUAUAAACUAAUAAAUUUGAUUUUUUUUUAUGAAAUUUCAGGCCAGCUUCGAGUGGGAUAAGGAGGACAAGGCAAUUACCAAGUACAUAGACUAGGUGUGGAGUAGCAGUAUAUGGAGUAGAAGUACGAGCUGCAUUGCUACUACCAGACUUGUGUGUCUCCUGAUGCAGCUCUUACUAACCCACUCAAGGAGUUUUUAAAGAGAAUGGGAGAGUAGCAGUAGUUGUGCACUAAUUUUCAGAGCUAAAAAUUUAAGGUAAGUUUUCUUUAUAUUUUAAUUUUACUUCAAUUAUGAUGUUUUCUUAGUUAAUUUUUAUUAAUAUUUUUUAAGUUAUAGAAAAAAUUGGAGGCAAAUAAAGGUAACCGAGAGAAUAAGUCGUACAUUCAUCACUUCGGUUCUCGACCCCUAAUAUCG
Molecule: long non-coding RNA, 481 nt
Filed under: Malus domestica (apple)
Lineage: Eukaryota; Viridiplantae; Streptophyta; Magnoliopsida; Rosales; Rosaceae
Description: long non-coding RNA (MDOM_LNC019196)
Source: RNAcentral